RNAcentral lists this ribosomal RNA (493 nucleotides) under uncultured bacterium. RNAcentral's name for it is "partial 16S ribosomal RNA". It matches the Rfam family "Bacterial small subunit ribosomal RNA", at positions 28 to 507 of the family's 1533-position model. The record is from RNAcentral.
GACGAACGCUGGCGGCGUGCUUAACACAUGCAAGUCGAACGGUGAAGGGACUGGUUUUUGCUGGUUCUGGAUGAGUGGCGAACGGGUGAGUAACACGUGAGUAACCUGCCCCCUUCUUCUGGAUAACCGCAUGAAAGUGUGGCUAAUACGGGAUAUUCUGCGCCUGCUGCAUGGUGGGUGUGGGAAAGAUAUUGUUUCGGUGGGGGAUGGGCUCGCGGCCUAUCAGCUUGUUGGUGGGGUGAUGGCCUACCAAGGCGGUGACGGGUAGCCGGCCUGAGAGGGUGGACGGUCACACUGGGACUGAGACACGGCCCAGACUCCUACGGGAGGCAGCAGUGGGGAAUAUUGCACAAUGGGCGCAAGCCUGAUGCAGCGACGCCGCGUGAGGGAUGGAGGCCUGCGGGUUGUAAACCUCUUUCGCCAGUGAAGCAGGCCUGUCCCUUUUGUGGGUGGGUUGACGGUAGCUGGAUAAGAAGCGCCGGCUAACUACGUG